CACGUAGGCGGAUCGGAAAGUUGGGGGUGAAAUCCCGGGGCUCAACCCCGGAACUGCCUUCAAAACUAUCGGUCUGGAGUUCGAGAGAGGUGAGUGGAAUUCCGAGUGUAGAGGUGAAAUUCGUAGAUAUUCGGAGGAACACCAGUGGCGAAGGCGGCUCACUGGCUCGAUACUGACGCUGAGGUGCGAAAGCGUGGGGAGGCAAAACA
RNAcentral lists this ribosomal RNA (209 nucleotides) under uncultured bacterium. RNAcentral's name for it is "partial 16S ribosomal RNA". It matches the Rfam family "Bacterial small subunit ribosomal RNA", at positions 568 to 776 of the family's 1533-position model. The record is from RNAcentral.